CCUACCAUAUACAGGGGAAUAACCUUUCGAAAGGGAGACUAAUACCCCAUGGUAUUACUUUUAGGCAUCUCUUAGUAAUUAAAGAUUUAUUGGUAUAUGAUGGGCAUGCGUGCCAUUAGUUAGUUGGUGAGGUAACGGCUCACCAAGACAACGAUGGCUAGGGGUUCUGAGAGGAAGACCCCCCACACUGGUACUGAGACACGGACCAGACUCCUACGGGAGGCAGCAGUGAGGAAUAUUGGUCAAUGGACGGAAGUCUGAACCAGCCAUGCCGCGUGCAGGAAGACGGCCCUACGGGUUGUAAACUGCUUUUAUGUGAGAAUAACCCUAGUCUUGCGAGAUUAGCUGAAGGUAUCACAUGAAUAAGGAUCGGCUAACUCCGUGCCAGCAGCCGCGGUAAUACGGAGGAUUCGAGCGUUAUCCGGAUUUAUUGGGUUUAAAGGGUGCGUAGGCGGGCUAAUAAGUCAGUGGUGAAAUCACUCAGCUUAACUGAGUAACUGCCAUUGAUACUGUUAGUCUAAAAUAUAAAUGGUGCAGGCGGAAUGAAUCAUGUAGAGGUGACAUUCAUAGAUAUGAUUCAGAACACCGAUCGCGAAGGCAGCUUGCAAAGAUAUUAUUGACGCUGAGGCACGAAAGCGUGGGUAGCGAACAGGAUUAAUACCCUGUUAUUCACGCUGUAAACGAUGAUUACUC
RNAcentral lists this ribosomal RNA (693 nucleotides) under uncultured bacterium. RNAcentral describes it as "bacterial SSU rRNA". It matches the Rfam family "Bacterial small subunit ribosomal RNA", at positions 125 to 818 of the family's 1533-position model. The record is from RNAcentral.